This is a long non-coding RNA of Phyllostomus discolor (pale spear-nosed bat), 408 nucleotides long. RefSeq lists it as uncharacterized. Lineage: Eukaryota; Metazoa; Chordata; Mammalia; Chiroptera; Phyllostomidae. The record is from RefSeq and is a predicted model, not a curated record. The transcript is spliced from 3 exons.
UCUCUCUGUGCACUGCACUGGACAGGGACACUCAGUCCUUUGACUCCCUGUGGGCGAUGCAAGGCCCUCCUGGCAGCUGGUCCCUCUCUCAGGCCGUGUCUGCUGCUGUUGCCACAAGAUUUAACAAUUUAAGCAAAGUAACCUAUUCUCAACUGAAUGAUUGCAUUGAUGAAAUUCGGAAGAGUCUAUUAAUUUAGCUUGUGUCCUAUAGUUUGUGGGAUUGCCUAACAAAAAGUAAUAUUCCACGAAUGCUACACUUUUCAUAAAUUACCUAUCACCCAUUUUACUGCUACAAGACCCUGUUUCCCCAUACUCCCCAAGGUCCUAUACACCUGAUAUCACCACAUUGUCUGGUAUUCAUUUGUACUCGUGCAUGGAUUAAAUGCUGAAUAUCUUGUAUUGAUCUGA